UUCGAUUAAGCCAUGCGAGUCGCGAGUCUUAGGGACUCGGCGUACCGCUCAGUAACACGUGGGUAACCUGCCCUAUGCUGGGGAAUAACCUCGGAAAACUGAGAAUAAUGCCCCAUAGUUCACCACGCCUGGAACGGUGGGUGGAUGAAAGCUCCGGCGGCAUAGGAUGGGCCUGCGGCGUAUCAGGUCGUAGGGGGUGUAAUGUACCCUCUAGCCAUCGACGCGUACGGGUGUUGGGAGACAUUGCCCGGAGAUGGAUUCUGAGACACGAAUCCAGACCCUACGGGGUGCAGCAGGCGCGAAAACUUGGCAAUGCGAGAAAUCGUGACCAGGGAACUCCAAGUGCAUCGGGUAAGACCGAUGCUUUUCUUGACUCUUCAAAGGUCUUGGAAUAAGGGGUGGGUAAGGACGGUGCCAGCCGCCGCGGUAAUACCGGCGCCUCAAGUGGUAGUCGCUUUUAUUGGGCCUAAAACGUCCGUAGCCGGUUUGGUACAUUCGUGGGUAAAUCAAGGCGCUCAACGUCUUGAAUUCUGCGAGCACGGCCAGACUUGGGACCGGGUGAGGUGUGGGGUACUCUCAGGGUAGGGGUAAAAUCCUGUCAUCCUGAGAGGACCACCUGUUGCGAAGGCGCCACACUAGAACGGAUCCGACGGUCAGGGACGAAGCCUAGGGGCACGAACCGGAUUAGAUACCCGGGUAGUCCUAGGUGUAAACGCUGUGGACUUAAUGUUGGGAGUGCUCCGAGCACCCUCAGUGUCGAAGCGAAGGUGAUAAGUCCACUGCCUGGGGAGUACGGUCGCAAGGCUGAAACUUAAAGGAAUUGGCGGGGGAGCACUGCAACCUGAGGAUUGUGCG
Molecule: ribosomal RNA, 855 nt
Filed under: uncultured archaeon
Lineage: Archaea
Description: bacterial SSU rRNA
Rfam family: Archaeal small subunit ribosomal RNA
Source: RNAcentral